This is a long non-coding RNA of Daphnia magna, 1063 nucleotides long. RefSeq lists it as uncharacterized. Lineage: Eukaryota; Metazoa; Arthropoda; Branchiopoda; Diplostraca; Daphniidae. The transcript has 3 exons. The record is from RefSeq and is a predicted model, not a curated record.
GCUUGAUAGAUGGCAGUACCAAGUAGACCAGACCUGAAAUUAUGAAUAUGCAUGGAUACGAUCACAUUGAUUACAUAUUUUGUAUCUCAACUUAACUCAUGGAAAUAGUCAUUUCAUCCGUAUUUAGUGCAAUUUCUCUAAACGUAAAAGGCCAAAGUACCUCGUUUCUCGUCGUUCCCGUGGUUUAGAUAAUAUAGUCACGUGGUGCAGAAUUUAAAUUUUCAGACGAAAAAAAUGGAAGAAACUUUAGAAAAUGUGUCCAAGAGAAUUAAAGAGAAAGAGGAAAUACUAAGAAAGCUCAAAAUGAUUAAAUUACACAGAAUAAAGCAUAGUACUGAUCAACUUGAAAGCCUUAUAAAAGAAUGGACAGGAAUCUGCCAACAAGCUCUUCAAGACCUACAACAGAAGUUGGCAGAUCAGGGAUCUGACUCAGCAGCCAUUGGCAUUCCAGAACUUCUCAGGCAUUUAAAUAUUGAACCAGAGCUUGUUGGCUACUGUAUUGAAGACGAGGCAUUCGUAAACUGAAUGUAUAUUCAAUCCCUUCAAGUAUUAUAUAAUGCCGCCACUGAUACUCGUAAGAAGUUUGCCAUAUUCUUUGAAAAUCUUAUUUUCAUCUUUCUAGUAAAAUGUUCAGCAUAGUCAAGCAUUAGCUUGUUAUCUUGAAGUGGUUUUGUUUAAUAAUGUCUCAACUUUGGUUUAUUCUUCAUUUUAUUCUUGGAGUAUUACCAAGUGAAUUUAAAUAAGAGAGAAGUUUUAAGACCUCAAAACCAUACUGUAUAGAAAAUGGUUAAGUUGAAAUAGUGUAGGUAGUAAUGCCCCCUUGUCAGCAAGAUGGAUGUCUUCUUUGUAUAUGAUAAACGAGCAGAAGCGUAGGAUUGUCUUGUACGGACCAUACAUAUGGCCUCCGCCCCUGCUGACGAAAUGUUCACCAUAGGACAGUUAACCUCUGACCGGUUCUAUUAAAUUUUUUGGAGACCUAAAUCACCCUCUUGUAGAUCAUACUACGUACGGCGUAUUUGUAUGCGUCUAAAAGUUGAAAGAGCAAUACGUGCACAGAAAUUCU